This is a non-coding RNA of Sus scrofa (pig), 8753 nucleotides long. Lineage: Eukaryota; Metazoa; Chordata; Mammalia; Artiodactyla; Suidae. The record is from RefSeq and is a predicted model, not a curated record.
AGAAGCCUUUGGGCCGACUCCCGGAGGCCAUCUUGGCUGUGGGCGGGUCGCUGGGAGGUUGCUCCUUCUUGUGGAAGCUUGUUUUUGCCAGUCCGGGGCGCGACCCUGAGGCUCGAGCUAGGGAGGCGUCCGCGGCCAAGAUGACCCAGGCGGAGAAAGGGGACGCAGAGAACGGAAAGGAGAAGGGUGGGGAAAAGGAGAAGGAACAGCGCGGCGUGAAGCGACCCAUCGUGCCCGCGUUGGUGCCGGAGUCGCUACAGGAGCAAAUCCAGAGCAACUUCAUCGUUGUCAUACAUCCAGGUUCAACAACUCUGAGGAUUGGUCGAGCCACAGACACGCUUCCUGCCAGCAUUCCUCACGUCAUUGCACGAAGACAUAAACAACAAGGGCAGCCUCUAUAUAAGGACAACUGGCUCCUAAGGGAAGGACUAAAUAAACCUGAAAGUAACGAACAAAGACAAAAUGGCCUUAAAAUGGUGGAUCAAGCAAUAUGGUCUAAAAAGAUGUCAAAUGGUACAAGACGAAUUCCUGUGUCUCCUGAGCAGGCACGUUCCUACAACAAGCAGAUGCGACCUGCGAUUUUAGAUCACUGCUCUGGAAAUAAGUGGACAAACACAUCUCAUCACCCUGAAUUUUUGGUAGGAGAAGAGGCCUUAUAUGUUAAUCCAUUGGACUGUUACAAUAUUCACUGGCCCAUCAGAAGAGGCCAGUUAAAUAUUCACCAGGGACCUGGGGGCUCUCUUACAGCUGUUCUGGCUGAUAUUGAAGUAAUAUGGUCUCAUGCAAUACAAAAAUACUUGGAAAUCCCACUGAAAGAUUUAAAGUAUUAUAGGUGUAUCUUGUUAAUUCCUGAUAUCUAUAAUAAACAGCAUGUGAAAGAAUUAGUGAAUAUGAUCCUAAUGAAGAUGGGUUUUUCAGGGAUUGUGGUCCAUCAGGAGUCUGUGUGUGCCACCUUUGGAAGUGGUUUAAGCAGCACUUGUAUUGUCGAUGUUGGAGACCAGAAGACGAGCGUGUGCUGUGUGGAGGAUGGGGUCUCUCAUCGGAACACUAGACUAUGUCUGGCAUAUGGUGGAUCUGAUGUGUCAAGAUGUUUUUACUGGCUGAUGCAGCGAGCUGGGUUCCCUUACAGAGAAUGCCAGUUAACAAAUAAAAUGGACUGCCUUCUUCUGCAACACCUUAAAGAAACGUUUUGUCAUUUAGAUCAGGACAUCUCUGGGCUUCAGGACCAUGAGUUUCAGAUUCGACAUCCAGAUUCCCCUGCCCUUCUUUACCAGUUUCGAUUAGGAGAUGAAAAACUCCAGGCUCCAAUGGCUUUGUUUUACCCAGCAACUUUUGGAAUCGUUGGACAGAAAAUGACAACUUUGCAGCACAGGUCCCAGGGUGACCCUGAGGAUCCUCAUGAUGAGCACUACCUGCUGGCCACACAAAGCAAGCAAGAACAGUCUGCAAAAGCUACUGCUGACCGAAAGUCUGCAUCCAAACCCAUUGGAUUUGAAGGGGAUCUUCGUGGCCAGUCCUCUGAUCUUCCAGAAAGACUGCAUUCCCAGGAGGUGGAUUUGGGAUCCUCCCAGGGAGACUGCUUGAUGGCUGGCAAUGACUCUGAGGAGGCUCUCACUGCACUCAUGUCCAGGAAGACUGCCAUCUCACUGUUUGAAGGGAAAGCCCUGGGCCUGGAUAAAGCCAUCCUCCAUAGCAUAGACUGUUGUUCAUCUGAUGAUACCAAAAAGAAGAUGUACAGCUCCAUCCUGGUGGUGGGAGGUGGUUUGAUGUUUCAUAAAGCUCAAGAAUUUCUGCAGCACAGAAUUCUCAAUAAAAUGCCACCUUCAUUCAGGCGAAUUAUUGAAAAUGUGGAUGUGAUCACAAGGCCCAAGGACAUGGAUCCCCGGCUGAUUGCAUGGAAAGGAGGAGCAGUGUUGGCUUGUUUGGAUACAACACAGGAACUGUGGAUUUAUCAGAGAGAAUGGCAGCGCUUUGGCGUCCGCAUGCUACGAGAGCGAGCUGCUUUUGUGUGGUGACGUGGACAGAAAAGUCACUGCUGAAGAACAAAACAUGCCUCGUGGUAUACAAGACUCUUAUCAAAUGUACCAUCACACGCUGUGUUGCCAUCAUUGGAAAGAAGGAAAAUGACCUUAUCUGCUGCUGCCUUCUGAGUGGGCUCUGUCAGACUGACAGCUGUGGGGAGGUAAUGCCGCCCAUCAAAGGAAUGUUGGAUCAGGUAAGCCCCUGCAUGCAAAAGUGCUCAGGGAUCUGUAGACACGGUGCCCUCACAGUGGCCAGGGCCCAGGACUGUUAGGAGGUUACAUUUCCAAGAAUAACACCUUCCACCUUUUGACCCCAGCCCUGGGCUAGUUCCGGUAGCGUUUGUCCAGAUGCAGUGAAAGAACUUGCAUCUCUAAAUCCAGAGAGACAUGCUGCAGAACAGGCUGCUCUCAGGCACCAGUGAGGUGUGUCUUUUGGUGCCGACACUCCUCAUUUGUUAUCCAAAUGUUGGCUGUGUGGCCACCUGGAGUUACUGUAACAGCCAGGCCUUGGCCACUCAGAGGAUAAGAAAGGACGCAGUGAAAGGUACAUUCCCUCAUACAGUCAGUCCUUUUAUGCCACUGAUGCACCCCUGAUGUUUUCCCUUCUUGUGAGUAUCCUGCUUGGUAAAGAAUGUUGAAUCUCAUUCAUCUCAUUUUCCUUUUUUUUUUCCAGGGCCACACCCACAGCAUAUGGAGGUUACCAGGCUAGGGGUCAAAUAGGAGCUACGGCUGCCGGCCUACACCACAGCCACUGCAACAUAGGAUCCGAGCCACGUCUGUGACCUGCACCACAGCUCACGACAAUGCCGGAUCCUUAACCCACUGAGCGAGGCCAGGGAUCGAACCUGCAACCUCAUGGUUCCUAGUCAGAUUCGUUUCUGCUGAGCCACGACGGGGAACUCCAUGAAGCCGAAUUCUUACUCAGAUUGCAGUUCUCGGGCACAGCACUGCCAUUUUCCCUGCACCUUUGUUCAGCGCAGGUAGGCCGGUACCCUCCCUCAUGCCCCUCCCAUACACUGCCCCCUCAGCCUGACACAUAUUGAAUGGGGGUGGGGCUGGGGGACCUUUGUAUCCUGAGCCUCUUCCAUCAUCCCAUGGAAAGGCCUGAGUACUUACUCUGAUCUUGUGGGAAGGGGACCCCUGUGUGUGGGCAACGCACAACAGUUCCUCUGCGUCGGAUGCAGUCGUUGCCACAGGUACGGAAAUACGGAGUCAGCUGAGAAAAACGAGGGGCUCAGCAAGCUCUCACCACAUCUCGGUCUCAGCAUUAUUCCUUCUUCCACCAGAACCCCUCUUCCCCUUUUUCUCUGGCUCCGACCCCUUCCUAGCAUUGUAAUAGGACAGUGUCCCCCCUCAGUCAUACUUCUGUAACAAAGCCCUAAAAUCCAGACCAAUGACUUAAGACCGAACACCUUCUAAGAUUCCUGGCUUACAAACCUAAGCUUUGUAUAUGUUGCUGAGAUAUUAUUUUCCUUCCCUAAAAGGGUUAGGUCACAUCCUGAUACAUAUACAAAUACAUCCUCUAGAAAAACAGUGGUAGGACUCCUCUCAACCUAGGUCAGCACUUUACAACAUGUAAGUCCCUGAGACUAGGAGAGUCUGGUUCCCUGGAAAAGGGGUGCAGUCAUAAUGACCGAGCGCCACCCAGGAGUAAAGAACAAAAGCUCCUUGUAUCUUGGGUGUGGCUGUAUGCCAUCCAGACCCUUCACAGCCUCAUACACUCUGACUGGAAAGAGCCCUGAAAGCAUCUGCAAGCUGGACUCCCCAUUCUCCAGUGGAGUAAACUCAGACCCUGAGGGGACAGAGUUGUCCUUCAGAGUUCACACACUGAUGGGAACCCAGACCUGAUUUCAAAUCCUUUGUUACUUCAUUUUUUGCAGUGAAUGACUUGGGGAAACAAAAUGGUAUUCCUGUUUCAGAAUUCCUCUGAGGCUCUGUGACAGAGGUGGGAAUAAAUGUGGGAAAGUCAGCAGUGACUCAAAGAAACAAAAAGGACCAUGACGAUAAGGUCAGCUUCCUGACCUCACCACUGCGAAGACAACUAAGAAGGACAGGCCUCCCUGUUGGCAUCACUUAAUGUGAGACUGCUGGUGGAGCCGGGGUGAGAACUCAUCUGCUCCAACUAGAAAGCACUUCUCAAAGCAGCUGGGGAGGUGCAGUAGGUCUUCCAGCGCCCCUUCCCUCCCCAGAGCGUGCUGUUGAACUUUACCUGGACCACAGCACCUUCGCUUUCCCCAGUCACUUGAACCACCACAGAAGUUCGAGUUAGUUCUUUCUGGGGCAAGUAAGUGAGACAAAAUCAAGAAUUAGGGGCCAUACAGGUGAGUAGGUCAAGGACUGCCCAUGAAGACAUCACUCUCCCCAAACAGUUUAUGAAUGCUUAGUGUGAAUAGGGAUUCAGUCCAUGCUUCUGGCUGAAGAUGGUUGGUUUUAGAUUCACUGGGACAUUUCUGUGGAUGCCCUCAGGGACUUGUUUUUCUUUGAAUUAACCAGACUAGCCCACAUUUGGACAGCAGUCCUGCCUGUGCUCUCUCAAAAGAGAGCCUGUCCAAGGAAUCUGCAUUCUUUAACAAGGCAAGGAAAGCUGGAGGUUGAGGAUGGGGUGGUGGUAAGGAAAUAAAGUGGGGAAACAUACCUCCGACACAUAAGAAGUCCCAAUUACAGUGGAGUUUUGGAUCAGAGCCAUGUAUCUGUUUCCAAGGGGACUGGUUGUAAAAUUCACUUCUACUGUGUUCUCGCUCUUCUUACAAGCAGUGAUGUUUGGAUCCCACAGACUUCCUAUGAGUCAAGAGAGAAUCACAAGGAUGGAGCUGCAGACUCAGCCCUCAUUUAAGUCCCCAAAAAGGGCUUGACAAAGACCUACAUCCUCAGGCACAUGUCCAAGAGACACAGAUUCUACUACACAGUGUACCUUUUAUUCAUCCUCUCAAAGUAACCUGCUACCAAAGAAAGUUUAAGAAAAAGUUAGGGAUUCCACAUCACUGCUUUGCUGAGAUUCUCUUCCCUGGCCGAGGCUGUUAGGAGACAUGAGCUGGGUUCUACUACUCCCUUCUAUUCUCAACAGCCAUUGUGAAUGAAGAGCAGGGGUCAAGAUCUCCUUUCCAGGAUGGGGAGCAGGAGCCACAGGUUAGGAGAGAUGUCCAAGUUUAUAGAGUGAGUGGGUUCAGGAUCAGGACUACAACUACUAGAACAUUGUAAGUUCCAGGAGCUCCAUCUAUCACAGCUUUACUGGAUGUCAGGAAAUAAGGAAAUGCCUCAUGGCUUAGAAAAUAUCCUGACAGGUGUACUCUGAGAAAAAGCUGGUUGUUUCAUUCAUGUGGCUUGCAAAUCAACACUGUUAAUUUCCAGGAACAUGAUACACAAUAGCAUGCAUUAUUUUCCCCACCCAGGAGACCAUUUCUGGCGCUUGCUCAGAACUGUCUUUAGGAGUUGGUGUCUACUCCAACCAAGGCCGUUAGACCCUUGCCCGCCCUGCAGUGUCCUCCAUACUUCAGGUCUCUGCUGGUGGGAGGUGAGAGGAAACACAACACUCCAACUCUGCCUUCCAGCAAGGAGCCCACGUGGCCUCAGUCUGCCAGGGUUCACAGGGAUGCCUGUGGGGUGGGGGUGCCUAAAAGAGAUCCAUCCCCCAAAAUACUACUAGCUUCAUUAGCACCCUAAGAUUGUACUACCAAGAAGUGCACACAAAUCCUUGUAAAGCCCUUGAAAAUUGGACACUUGGGACUAAUUAUCCUGAAGGGGCUUUUUUCAGAUUUCAAAGAGUAGGGUGGGUUUUCAGUCUGGCCUGCAAGAGGUGGAACCCGCUGGGGUCACAGGUUGAAAGUAUGUUCCUAGUUCAUUUCUUUAGCUAACACUCCCACCUUGACUGUUUGCAGAUCCGAGUAGAAGGUGCACAGGGUCCCCAUGGCCACAGCUUAGUGGUCCUGGUGUCCCGGGCACGCGGAGGACUCAGAGAUUCCCAUCCAGGCAGGAAGGGCUUUUGGCCAUUAUCAAAACAGUAUCUGAUCCCCAAGAGAAGACUUGGAAAUCAACCUUUCUUCAAAAAUGAGGUUUGGGGGAGUUCCCAUUGUGGCUCAGCGGUAAUGAACUUGACUAGGAUCCAUGAACACCUCAGGGGUCAAGCCUACUGGAUUCCAGACAUCAAAGUCAGAGACUAGCAACAUGCCAUCAGAUUACAUAGCCUGCCGUGAAACUGAGACUGGAACAAACAGUUUGUGUCAACGAUAAAGAGUGGCUAAAAGUGCAUCAGUCAAGAAGAACCAGAGUUUGAUGUCAGCUUCACUUCUACUGGGUACAUAACCAGGGCAAGUUACUUAAGCUCUCAAUUUCUUCAUCUGUAAGAUGGGGCUAUCCCAACCUCAGGGUUGUCGGAGGCUUAAGUGAUUCUGCGUGUCAAGUGCUCAGCAUGGUGCCUGACACACAAGAAUGGGCUUUCCCCUACAAACCUGCCUUAGUGCUCUCCCUGUAGUGCCUUGUACAUAUUACAGAUGAGGAAACAGAGACUAGCAAGGCCAAACGCUAGUCCACGGUACCCUGCAUUCUCUGUACCAAACCACAUACCAAAGCAGGGGUCCGAGUAAGACGAGAAGAUCGAGGAAGUUUACCUGGUGAGGUGAAGUUCACAGCCAAGGAGGGGCCAUCUUCGUUCAUAUUUGCAUUGGGGAUAUUAUGGGCUCCAAUGAAAUAGCGUGUAUUCAGCUCUACUGGAAAGCCUACGUAGGAAAACAUCCACUGCAAGGCAAAGCAGCAAUCCCUGAAAUUUCCAAGUCCUUUUCAUUGUCAACUUCAUUUCCUAACUUGCUGCUGCUUACAUCUCUAGCCAAUGUCUGCUAAGGAAAUGGACCCCAUACAGUUACCAGUGUAACUCACAGAUUCAAAAAAUUGUAAAAUUCUAGAGCCAGGAUAUAAUUUAAGUUCAACUCCCCUCACUUUGCUGAUGGAGAAACUAAGGCCCAGAAAUGCUGACUUGCCCAAGGCACACAGCAGAGAAAUGCCCAAACUGGGAUUUGAACCUGGUCGUCCUGCUCCCGGUUAUAGCUGCUCCCCGGCCUGUGUGUGUGUGGCUCAACAUGCACACCCCCAACAAAGGACCUGGCUUCCGUGACUGUUAUCCAAGGGUCUCUAAGUGCUUACUUUGCCGCCAGAAGGUCUGGUCUGAGUCUGGAAGGCCUCAGUGUAAUUGCACCUCACGCAGCUGUAGGUCUGCUUCUGGCUCUUGCCCGUCACACAGAUCUUGGUGGCCUUCAACAAUCGGAUACUGGCUGCCAAGGUAGGCAAGAAGGCAGUUGUGUAUUUAGUGCUUCUUAUGUGGCCAGCCAACGCUAGACAGCCUACCUGCCUCAUGGCAGUUCACAUUCACUGUAGCCAUCAAAGGUAAGCACUGUGGUUGUCCCUGGUUUACAGAUGGGGUGAACAAGCCUUACAGAAUUUCAGGUAGCUUUGCCUUAGUCUACAGAGUUCAUCAGAGGCAGAAUAUGGGUUCAAAUUCCUAAGCCUGGAUUUCACAGACACCUGCAAACGUGAGUCUAACUGCGCUAUUCUGGGUCUUUUAAGAGGAACAGACCUGCUGUGUAGAACACCACCAAGGCCUUUCAGAGGGUCACCACCAGCCAUGCCUGUUCUGGUUGCACCUUUAUCCAUGCCGAUUCUUCCCCCUUGAAUGCCCUUUCCUCAUAUUCUCUGCCUCUUCAACACCUAACUUAUGCACAUACCUAAAACAACAGCUAACAAACACAAGACCUCACUCUGUAGAAGGAGCCAGGAUGAAGCCACAUGCAUUACUGCAACAUCUAACUUAAUGUGGUCUCCCCAGAGCCCUCUCCUGCUUCUCCCGCCCUCCUUCCCGCCCACCUCAGAUGGAGUACAGGUCCUUCUGGGGUUCCCCAGACCCUAUCUGUGCUUGUGCCUGCCUACCCCUGGGCCAUGAGAACCCAACCUGGGCAGGGACUGUAGCUGACUCAUCUCUCCGUGCAUGGCACUCCCAGAUUAUUGACCAGAAGGAAUUGAGCUGAAUUUAUGGGCAGAACCCACAGACAUGGUGCUUAGGGCCUCAGGAUUGGUUCAUCCAAAGAACUCACAAGGUACCCUGGGGAAAUGCCAGGACUCCCACGAUGCCAUUUGGAGUGGAAAAGUUAUCUACCCGAGGGAAAGCUUUCCUAAACCUGGGGGGUCAUCCCUGGCCUUAACCCGUUUUCCUCAAUGAAGGAUGGCAUGACAUACAGUACAGUACUCAGUGUGCCACUCGAUCAGUUUCGACACUCAUGCAGUCAGAACCCAGGUCAAGGAACACCCCAGGAGUGUCCCCCAGGCUUCCUUUCAGUUCCUCCCACAGCUGAGAGUAGCCACAGUAGUCAUGACUUCUAACUGCUUAGGGUAGUUUUGCCUGUUUUACACUUUUUGUUAAUGGUGUCUUUUGGUGGGUAGGACUGCAGGCCUGUGUGCAGAUAUGAAUGUAUGAACUCUGAAUCUAGCUAUGUCUGAGAUUCACCCAUGUUGUGUGUAGUUAUAGAUCACGCCAUGUUGGUAUCUAUAUAGGACUAUACAGAUAUAAUUCAUGCUCAUCACUCUAAUGAAUUCUGUUUUGUGAUUCCAAAUCUAUCUUCAGGCAUUUGAUGCAUUCCAUUUUUUUGGUGCUAUGAAUACUGCUACUAUGAAUAUUCUAGUCUGUGGUUUUGUUUUAUAUCUGUAUAUAGUUUGUUGGGUAUCAGACUAAGGAAGUAAUGGGUCACAGAG